RNAcentral lists this long non-coding RNA (10354 nucleotides) under Triticum aestivum (bread wheat). RNAcentral describes it as "long non-coding RNA (TAES_LNC011529)". Lineage: Eukaryota; Viridiplantae; Streptophyta; Magnoliopsida; Poales; Poaceae. The record is from RNAcentral.
AUUUUUAUUUUUAUUUUCAUUUUCGCGGGUGAAAUAUACAGACUCUGACAUGAUAAAUGGCAUGGUAUCAUGAGCAGUAAACUUACAGAGCUCGUAUACAGCAAAUACAAUGAAUAAUGAAUAAAAACAAGUAAACUGGAGAACGGCUGAUUUAAGUUGCAGAAAAGGCCAAUCAUAAUACUAGUAGAUUGUAACAGGAGGGCAUCUUGGGUGCACCUGUGCGGCGGUUCCUGAAGGCGGACUCGACAUCACGAUCGUCAUGGAUGGAUGACAUGUUAUCUACAUGGAUUUGCUCGAGGGAUAAGAGGUGCACCAUGCCCACUGGCAUAGCACUGCCACCACCCCACCUAUCAUGUACUCCUAGAACGAGCCUUCGAAGCUUGGGCAUAGCCCCUGCCUCAAACCCCAUGCAUGCCGUUGCAUCAUCAUCACGAGACCUGAGAGCAAGACACUCCAGAACUGGGAAUGACCGAAUGAUCCUGUACAGAUUAUGACAGCACUGUCUUGAGGAAUACACAACACCUUGAGACUGAGAUACACGAGGGACGGCAGCUGCCCAAGAACAUGAACACCGUCAGUCUGCAACCGCUCAACACACAGAGACAGUCUAUGGAGGCAAUGAAGAUCACCAAUCCAUUUUGGAACCUUGUAGAAUGGCCAUCCUCCCAGACGUAGAUUCUCCAUACGGAGGGGAGGAUCAGAUAUUGAGUCCAGUAGGUCGACAUAAUGUUGAAGAUUGCAGGCAAGGUAGAGAAAUUUGAGGUCACAAAGCUUUCUAAUGGAGGAGAGCAAGGCUUCAACCCCUGCCUUCACCAUAUCAAACUUGUAGGACUUGGUGAGUGUCAGUUCCCUCAGAUUAGUGAGCUCGCCGAGACCCUCAAUAUCAUCCAAUGAGCUCUUGCCCAUGCAAUAACAACGUAGAGUACGUAGCGAUUUCAUGUUCCCAAUCCCAUUUGGGAGUCCUGUAUCACGCGGAAGAAUGAAAUGGGACAAGCGGUGCAACAUGACUAUAUCUGACGGGAUGUUUUGUGCCAUUCGGCAAUCUAUAUCAAUUGUCUCCAAAUGAACAGGCCCAUGGAUUUCAGUAGGAAGCUCUAUGCUGCCUGAUGCUGCUGAAACCUUCAAAUACCUAAGUUGAAACAACUGGCCAGCGGCAGUGCGGUCGACUACCAUCUCCCGGUAAUCUGGAAAAUCAAAGAGAAGCACACGUAGAUACUUGAACUCCGAAAGAGGAGGUGUGUACUUGGACUCACCAAACCAUGCAAAUGAUCGAAUUUGUGUUAAGCUAGUAGCAAUGGUCUCCGAUGUUGCGCUACCAGCAUUUAAUUUCAGAGAUAGUCGGCGGACCCUGUAGUUGCAGCCAUCCCGUUGUGCCAUGUUUUUAUAGUCAUAUGCCACACGGAUAAAAUUAUCUUCCCCACACUUGCUUAAGAUCAGAUCAAGCAUCAUAUCAUGAAUACUACAUGACAACACCUCACCACAUAUGGUAUCUUCAGGCUGAAUCAUGCCCCUAUUGAUAAGCUCAUGGAAGUAACUCUUCACAGCAUCCUCCAGAUUUGAUCCAUGUAAAUUACUGACAAACCCUUCGGCCACCCAUUGUCGGACCAGAUCAACCUUGCUAAUCUUACGGUCCUCUGGAUACAUGCCAAGGUACAGAAAACAUGCACGGAGAUAAAGAGGAAGAUGCAUGUAGCUCAGGUUUAAUAUACUCCUCAUCUCUUCCAAGGUGGGCUUUGUGGCAAACUUGGCGCUCAGUGAAUCCCUUAUGCUCUCCCACUCACUCCUUGAUCUUGCUUGACGACUAGCUAAUAAGCUAGCAAUAGUGAUGAUUGCAAGCGGUAAUCCACCACACUUCUUCAAAAUUUCAGCUGAAACUUCUUUAAAUUGUGGUGGACAGCCAUCUUCUGACCCAAAUACUCUAUUAUAGAAUAAACUUCUGGAGUCUUGCUCUUGGAGGGGAUUCAUUUGGUAAAUGCACUCACGGUCAUGGAGACACGCACGGAAAGCCACAUCACCCAGUCGUGUGGUUACGAUUACUCUACUUCCAUUACCAUCUUCAGGAAAGGCACAACUAAUAAUAUUCCAUGCCGACUGAUCCCACAAGUCAUCGACUACAAUAAGGUACCUGUUGAAAUUUUGUAGAAUUCUGAUUAUAAGCUGCCUCUGGAAAAGUUUAUGCUUAUCAAAAAACUUCGCUAUUAACUAUUUGUGAGCUGAACAUUUCAUGGCCAAUAAGUAACACAAGAUUUGGCAUUGUCCUAACAGAAAUCUCCGCGUCAUUAAAACAACUAUUUAAAUUUAUGCCAAAUGGUUUCAACUUCAGAAACUAGCUAGCCCGUAAAACUGCAGCCAUGACAACCAGAAUUAAAUAAGUACCUCUUAUGCGUGAGAUGUUCUCUAAGACGGUCGAUGAUGUCUUGCACCUCACGAAUGUGAGAAGACUCCUCCAUUCCAAGCUUUAGUUGCAGGCCACAUAGAAGGCUUGUCAUAUCAGGCCUUUGGGAAACUGAAACAAAUGCCUUACGCUCAAAUUGCCCACCAAUCUUAUUGUACACUUGCUUGGCAAGUGUAGUUUUACCCAAGCCGCCGAAUCCAACAAUAGAUACUACCUUGAGUUUUUUCUCAGCAUCAAUCAACCAACUGACAAGCUCUUCUCUGGGGCCAUCAAUACCCACAAGGCCUGCCGCCUCCUUGUAGAUUGCAGAUAUUCGGGGAUCCACAGGCACAACACAGGAGCUAUAAUCAACACAAUCGUCAAUCUUGUACCUCAUGCGUCGUUCAUUUGCCUCCAGAGCAAGAGCCUUGAGCUCCUCCAUCUGCCCAGCAAUGCGAUGACGCUCACGCAACGUCUUGAGCCGUUGAGCUGUUUUCUUGAUGAGGCCAGCCUUAGCAUCGGCACCCCCAAAUUGGCGCAUGAAGUCGUCAAUACAAUUCUCCAUGUCGUAGGACAUCUCUCUGACAUGAUCUCUCCAGUUCUUGGCCAGCGGAUCGAGUACAUCCAUGAGCUCCAGCUUCUCGAGGGCAGCUCUCAUGGCGCCGAGCUCACGCAUGAGGAACGACGCCUGCUUCCUCACCCCCUUGAGCUUCCUGUACUCGUCCCCCAUCAGCGUGGCGAGCUUGCUGAGGAGCGGGUUCAUUACCCCCAUCGUCGCGCUCACUGUUGGCGCUGACGUCAUCUCGACCCGAGCCUCCUGUCCGUGUUGUCUGGCCCAGCAGCUACGCGUGCUGCAAGUGAGCGAAGUCCGUGUUGUCCGUGUUGUAGAGGACGGCGACUUGCCGGAGCAGCCGGCGGCGAAGUCGAGCGGCCAGUUGAGGCGGAGCUCAGGAGGUGGAGACUGGAGACGGUGGCUGGUCGUGGUGCCGGGAGGCCGGGCGCCGUGGUUGGGAACCGGGAGGUGGAUGGCCGCACCGGAUCGAUCUGCGGCCGGAGGUGGGCUACGGGGAUGUGCGGCGGCGGUUGCCGUCGGUGAUGGCGGGGGGGAGAGUAGUACUGGAACAGCAGCGGGAUGCGAUUUGGGGGAGAAGGAUAAAGUCAGAGACGCGUCUGGAUAUGCAGUGGGAAAAAAUGGCAGGUUGUGAUUUGCGGGCUGAAAAAAAAAUGAAAUGCUCUGUGAUUUUUUUUUUUUUUGCGGGGGGAAAUGCUCUGUGAUUAACAUCAUCCUGACUUCAAAACAUGAAGAUUCACAACUUUCACUUGUUUUUGUAGUUAGAUUAGAUUAGAAGGAGAAAAGUCUGUUGAGUUGUCACGUUAUGCAUGUACUAUUGUGAUGUAUAUCUGAUUAUUGUUGUAACUAGGAGUCCUAGUCUUCAGGGAGUUUCCUGGUCUAGCGCCUCAUCAUGUAAUCGUGCCCUGCAUGUAGGGUUGUUUCCUUGUAUAUGUAACCGGUUGCCGAUGGCAUUGUAAACACAACAAGAUCCAUAUUCCAGUUUGGUUAUCAGAGCCAUGUCUUCGCCUCCCUCUCCCACGCGCGCGGCCGAAGCGGAUCAGGCCGCUGCUGCUGAUGCUGCCGCUGCGGCCCUUGCCGCCGGCAACCCCAUCGAUGCCUCCAACUCCACUGCCCCACGCCCUCGCGCCCCCGCUACUGAUGAGAGUUCAGGCUCCGGUGAUCUCACCCUCACUGCCGUUCCACCUACCUCUGGGCCUCCAGCUUCCUCCUCGGCCCCUCCUCCACCUCUCCCGGCCAGUCUCGCCGGCAUCCUCGACUUCAAGCUCACUCUCGACGGCGCCAACUUCACCCGUUGGCGCAACUACAUCCAUCUGAUGCUGACUCGUCACCAUGCCGAGGACCACAUCCGUGACGUCUCCGCACGCCGCAUGGCUGACCCGGCAUGGCGCGCCGACGACACCACCGUCGUCCUGUGGUUUUUCACCACCAUCGAGGGGGAUCUCCUCGACAUCGUCGCCCCCGCCGGCUCCACCGCCUUCACCAUCUGGACUCGGCUCCAUGAAUACUUCCUCGCCAACGAAGCCGAGCAUGCGAUGCACCUCGGCCAGGAGUUCCGCGCGUGCGUGCGCGGUGACCUCACCGUCAACGACUACUGCCGCCGACUGCAAGGUAUUGCUGCCGCCCUCGCCGACGUCCGUGAGCCGGUCAUGGAUCGCACCCUGACCCUGCAGAUGCUCGAUGGGCUCGGGCCGAAGUUCGCCAUGCAGGCGGCGAUCAUCCAGUCCAUUGUGUCGCUGCCCACCUUCAGCCAGGCGCGGUCUCGUCUUGUCCUCGCUGAGCUCUCCAUCGACAAGCGCGUCCGCAUUGAGGGCGCUCAGGUCCUGGCCGUGCAGAAUGACGAGCGCGGCGGCGACCGCGACGCUCCCGGUGGCGGCGGGCGCGGUGGCCAACUUGGCGCCGGCCGAAACCAGCGCGGCGGCCGCGGACGUGGACGCGGCCGUGGGCGCGGCGAUGGUCCCGCCGGCCGCGGCGGUGGCGCCCAGCCGUGGCUGGGGUACUUCGCGCCGAUGGGGCUGCCCUUCCCUCCGCCGCGCUCGCCCUGGAUUCCUCCGAACUCUGCCGGCGUCCUCGGCCCCCGUCCAGGCGUUCCGCACCAGGCGUACCCGCUACUGCUGAGUCACGCGCCGGCGCCACCAGCGCCCUCUGGUCAUGCAGCCUAUGGCGCUGCUCCACCAGGCUGGGACGCGGCAGCCAUGUACCACGCCGCCCCCAGCUACGGCUCCGCCUUCCCCGCCCACGCCGAAUGGAUCAUGGACACAGGCGCCGCCUCCCAUGUCACUGGGGACCCAGGUACCUUGACCUCUUGUCAUUCCCUUUCAGCUCCUAUACUCGUCACAUUAUUGUUGGCAAUGGCACUCGCCUUCCUGUCCUUGCGAUCGGUAGCACACACCUCCCUCCCAAACCUUUUAUUUACGCCAUAUUCUACUCUCUCCUAACAUUGUUCGCAACCUUAUAUCUGUUCGUCAGUUUACCCGUGAAAAUUUAUGCUCUGUGGAAUUUGACCCCCUUGGUUUCUCCAUGAAGGACCUAGCCACCAAGGCGCUGCUCCUGAGGGUCAACAGUGACGGUGAUCUCUAUCCCUUCUCCGGCAAUAAAGGCGCUACCACCUCCACCGCCCUCACUAUCUCCGUAUCUGAUUUAUGGCAUAGGCGGCUUGGGCACCCUAGCUCCUCCUCGUUUUCUCGUUUUUCCCUAGAUUUCCUUUCUGCUUGUAAUAAGAAUGAUCGCUCCACGCACUUGUGUGAUGCAUGUCAGUUGGGCAAACAUACUCGACCACCUUUUCCGCAUCUACCUCUUAUACUUGUGCACCGUUUCAUUUAAUUCAUUGCGAUUUAUGAACAUCCCCCAUUGUUAGUCAUUCGGGCUACAAGUACUAUCUCGUGAUUGUGGAUGAUUAUACGCAUUACUCAUGGACUUUUCCUCUCCGUGCCAAAUCUGACACAUGCAACACGCUUCUUCGUUUCUUCAAAUUUAUUUUCACUCAGUUUGGCGUGCUUGUUCGGUGUGUGCAGUGUGACAAUGGUGGCGAAUUCCUCACCACGUCUCUCCGCGACUACUUCUCCUCCAACGGCGUUGCUUUUCGUCUCACCUGCCCUCACACCUCUCCACAAAAUGGGAAGGCCGAACGCCACAUACGCACCACAAACGACGUUGUUCGAACCUUGCUCAUCCAAGCCGCCCUCCCUCCUCCCUUUUGGGUUGAGGCUCUCCAUACCGCCACCACACUCCUCAACAUUCGUCCCUCGCGUGCCAUUCAUCACUUUACUCCGCACUUCCUUUUGUAUGGUGUACAUCCCACAUACGAUCAUCUCCGGACGUUUGGCUGUCUUUGCUACCCAAACAUCUCUGCCAUAACCACCCACAAACUCUCCCCACGUUCCACGCGCUGCGUCUUUCUCGGCUACCCACGCGAACAGAAAGGAUAUAGAUGUCUUGAUCUCGCCACGCACAAAGUCAUUAUUUCCCGGCACGUCACGUUUGACGAAUCCAUUUUUCCCUUCUCUGUUCCUCCCGGUUCUGCUGCCACAGAAAAUCCCCCACCUGCCAUACCAGCGGAUCCGCCGCGCCGCAUCCCGCGUCCACCACUCCCCAUUCACCCGUCGCCAGCUGGAUGUCCCGCCAACGCCCCUGCGCUCCCACCGCGCCAUCCCGCGCCCACUCCCAGCCAUGCAGCCAACCACCCACCAGCUGCGGGCUGCUCCACUACGGGGCCCGCCCGCCAUGCAACCAAUCCCGCGCCCGCUGGCCAUGCUGUCAAUCCCGCGCCAGCAGCGGGCUGCUCACCCGCGGGGCCCGCCCGCCAUGCAGCCACUCCCAUCGCGCGUCUCCCCGCUCCCGAUUCCGUGCCCGCUUCCCCCAGCCUCGGCCCUCGUACCGCAUCUCCCUCGGGAUCGCCCCCAGGUGGAUCCCGCUCGCCACAUUCGCCGCUCCCCUCCAGUCCCGACUCACCACGUCGCCAGCUGUUCCCCCACAGCCCAUCGCUGCCGAAACGCGCUGUUCCCAUUCCACCUGUCGCCAAUCCCCAUCCCAUGCAAACUCGUGGCAAAACCGGCUACGCCAUGCCUAAGGACAUUUUUGACUUGCACGUCGACAUCGUCCCCUCUCCCAUUCCCUCCUCAUACCGUUCCACCCUUCAGGACCCGCAUUGGCAUGCCGCGAUGGUCGACGAGUAUAACGCGCUAAUUUGGAAUGACACUUGGUCUUUGGUUCCUUGUCCUGCAGGUGUCAAUGUGGUGACCGGCAAGUGGAUCUUUCGUCACAAACUCCAUCCCGACGGCUCUCUAGCGCGGUACAAGGCACGGUGGGUGGUGCGCGGUCUCACACAGCAGCAGGGCGUGGACUAUGGGGAGACGUUUAGCCCCGUGGUCAAGCCGGCUACGAUUCGGGCGGUUCUCAGCAUCGCGACAGCGCACUCUUGGCCCAUUCGUCAAAUGGACGUCAAGAAUGCUUUUCUCCACGGUGAUCUUGCUGAGGUAGUCUACUGCCAGCAGCCCUCCAGGUUCGCCGAUCCCACUCUUCCCACGCACGUAUGUCGCCUCAACAAGUCCCUGUAUGGACUCAAGCAGGCGCCCCGGACUUGGUUCCUUCGGUUCACCAGCUUUCUUCACUCCCUUGGAUUUGUCUCGUCCAAGUGUGACACCUCCCUCUUCAUCUUACGCCGUGGAGACACUACCGCGUACCUGCUUCUGUACGUCGAUGAUAUUAUCCUCACCGCUAGCACCACCCCUCUACUUCAGUCGCUCGUUCGCGCCCUCACCAGUGAGUUUUCUAUGAGUGAUCUCGGUGACCUUCACCACUUUCUCGGGAUAAACGUUCAUCGCUCCACCACCGGCCUCUUUCUCUCUCAGGAGCAAUAUGCCCUUGAGAUCCUCGAUCGUGCCAAGAUGCUCCACUGCAAGCCCAUCUCUACUCCUGUCGACACUUGCAGUAAGCUUUCCGGUGCCGAUGGUGUUCCUUAUAGUGAUCCAACUCACUACCGUCGCCUCGCUGGUGCGCUACAGUAUCUCACUCUCACCCGCCCCGACCUCUCCUAUGCCGUUCAGCAGCUUUGUCUUGUCAUGCACGCUCCGAUGGAGGGGCACUAUCAGUUGCUCAAGCGUGUUCUACGCUACCUCAGUGGCACCACUCACUACGGGCUCCAGCUCUACCGCUCCUCUUCUCAUGAUCUUCUUGCUUACAGUGAUGCUGACUGGGCCGGCUGCCCUGACACCCGUCGCUCCACCUCGGGAUUCUAUGUGUUCCUUGGAUCUAACCUCGUCUCUUGGUCCUCCAAGCGACAACACACCGUGUCUCGGUCCAGCGCCGAGGCCGAGUACCGCGCAGUUGCUAAUUGUGUGGCCGAGUCCUGUUGGCUUCGCCAACUUCUCACUGAGCUUCAUCGUCCCCCUUGCCGGGCUACUCUUGUGUAUUGUGAUAAUGUGAGUGCAGUAUAUCUCUCGUCCAACCCUGUUCCACAUCAGCGCACCAAGCACGUGGAGAUUGAUCUGCAUUUUGUCCGCGACCGUGUGGCUCUCGGCGAGGUCAAAGUGCUGCAUGUCCCGACUGGAUCCCAAUUCACUGAUGUCUUCACCAAGGGCUUACCAUCGNNNNNNNNNNNNNNNNNNNNNNNNNNNNNNNNNNNNNNNNNNNNNNNNNNNNNNNNNNNNNNNNNNNNNNNNNNNNNNNNNNNNNNNNNNNNNNNNNNNNNNNNNNNNNNNNNNNNNNNNNNNNNNNNNNNNNNNNNNNNNNNNNNNNNNNNNNNNNNNNNNNNNNNNNNNNNNNNNNNNNNNNNNNNNNNNNNNNNNNNNNNNNNNNNNNNNNNNNNNNNGCUGUCACGUUAUGCAUGUACUAUUGUGAUGUAUAUCUGAUUAUUGUUGUAACUAGGAGUCCUAGUCUUCAGGGGGUUUCCUGGUCUAGCGCCUCAUCAUGUAAUCGUGCCCUGCAUGUAGGGUUGUUUCCUUGUAUAUGUAACCGGCUGCCGAUGGCAUUGUAAACACAACGAGAUCCAUAUUCCAGUUAAGUCUACUGUUUGAAUGAUUUGUACAAAGUCGACGUGCUCAUGAUGUCAUGAUUCAGAGCUCAGAAUGGUGCAUAGAUCGUAUCUAAGCUUUCCUCUUAGCAAAGCAGAGUCAAAACCAGCUAUAUUAUCUCUCUUCAGAGUGUUGAUAUAGCCACAUAAGCCCCCCUCUUACCAUUUGAAUAAUUUGAACAAAGUGAUUGCCACUUGUUUGUUUCUCUUCGAAGUGUUCCUAUUACAACAUUUGGAAUUGGUUACGAAUUCAGAAUUACACCGAGAUAGCAAGUUAGCCAUAUUUCACAUGUUAUCUUGAAUAUUCUGUAACUUGAUUGUUACAUAUAGCUUGUGAGCUACAGUGCUUCACAUAGAUAUAGUGCAUAGGAUUAACCAAUCAAGGAGGAUGCAGGUGAUUCAUCAAUUUUCUCUACCAGCCGCAUUCAUCAGCUUUGUUUAGUUGCAAAUAUAAACACAUCUCUUUGUUUAGUUGCAAACAUUAACAACUCUAUCAAUAUCCAGCGCUUGCAUAUACUCUAGUUUUAUUUUUCAAAGGAACAGUUAAAGUGGACAACCAAGUGGCCAUCUGCAUAUACAACAAGCUGUAGAGAUUACAUGUCUAUUCAGAUCAUGUAGGAACAAUAUUUAGGCGGUCAAGAUCUGCAUAUACGACCAAAUAUCUCAAAACUCUACAUGGUAAAUUAAGUACAAUGUAUGCUGCGUAACUAUUAACUAACUCACAAACAGAAUCCCUGCACGAUAAAUAGAUGGAAUAAUAUUGAAUAAAAGAGUAAAAAAGGGAUUAUUUAUAGAGAAUGCCGAUCAAGUGAACAUAGUAAUGGAAGGGUGUUUUGGGUGCACAUCGGCAGCAGUCCGAAAGGCAGUCUCAACAUCACGUCGCUUGUGGAUGGAGGAUCUCACACAUAUACGGAUGUGCUCGAGUGCCAGCAAGUGUUCCAUGCCUAGUGGCAUAGCACCACCCCACCUGUCACAUAUUUCUAGGCCGAGCAGUCGUAGGUUGGGCAUCACCCCUGCCUCAAACUCCAUGCAUAUUGUAGCAUCAUCACCAUCUUCAGAGAAGAGUCUAAGGUCCUCUAGGAUUGGGAAUAAUCCUGUGCAGGCUAUGGCAGCACCACUAUCUUCAGGGAUAUAUGUCACCCAGAGACAUAGUUCGACGAGGGAGGGUAACUUUCCAACAACAUUAACCUCUUCAGUCGACAAAUGCUCAACCGACAAGGACAGGCUACCAAGGCAAUGGAGGUCACCGAUCCAAUUGGGAAUUCUUUUCAACAACCACCCUCGUAUAUAAAUUUUCUCGAUAUGGAGAGGAGGGUUGGACAAUGAGUAUAUCAGGUCGCAGUAAUGUUUAGAAGGCUCCCCAUGGACAAUAAGUAAUCUGAGGUCACAAAGCUUUCCA